GUCGAACGACUUCCGUUAUUGAUUAUGACGUGCUUGCACUGAAUGAGAUUUUAACACGAAGUGAGUGGCGGACGGGUGAGUAACACGUGGGUAACCUGCCCAGAAGCAGGGGAUAACACCUGGAAACAGAUGCUAAUACCGUAUAACAGAGAAAACCGCCUGGUUUUCUUUUAAAAGAUGGCUCUGCUAUCACUUCUGGAUGGACCCGCGGCGCAUUAGCUAGUUGGUGAGGUAACGGCUCACCAAGGCGAUGAUGCGUAGCCGACCUGAGAGGGUAAUCGGCCACAUUGGGACUGAGACACGGCCCAGACUCCUACGGGAGGCAGCAGUAGGGAAUCUUCCACAAUGGACGCAAGUCUGAUGGAGCAACGCCGCGUGAGUGAAGAAGGGUUUCGGCUCGUAAAGCUCUGUUGUUAAAGAAGAACGUGGGUGAGAGUAACUAUUCACCCAGUGACGGUAUUUAACCAGAAAGCCACGGCUAACUACGUGCCAGCAGCCGCGGUAAUACGUAGGUGGCAAGCGUUAUCCGGAUUUAUUGGGCGUAAAGCGAGCGCAGGCGGUCUUUUAAGUCUAAUGUGAAAGCCUUCGGCUCAACCGAAGAAGUGCAUUGGAAACUGGGAGACUUGAGUGCAGAAGAGGACAGUGGAACUCCAUGUGUAGCGGUGAAAUGCGUAGAUAUAUGGAAGAACACCAGUGGCGAAGGCGGCUGUCUGGUCUGUAACUGACGCUGAGGCUCGAAAGCAUGGGUAGCGAACAGGAUUAGAUACCCUGGUAGUCCAUGCCGUAAACGAUGAUUACUAAGUGUUGGAGGGUUUCCGCCCUUCAGUGCUGCAGCUAACGCAUUAAGUAAUCCGCCUGGGGAGUACGACCGCAAGGUUGAAACUCAAAAGAAUUGACGGGGGCCCGCACAAGCGGUGGAGCAUGUGGUUUAAUUCGAAGCUACGCGAAGAACCUUACCAGGUCUUGACAUCUUCUGCCAACCUAAGAGAUUAGGCGUUCCCUUCGGGGACAGAAUGACAGGUGGUGCAUGGUUGUCGUCAGCUCGUGUCGUGAGAUGUUGGGUUAAGUCCCGCAACGAGCGCAACCCUUAUUACUAGUUGCCAGCAUUCAGUUGGGCACUCUAGUGAGACUGCCGGUGACAAACCGGAGGAAGGUGGGGACGACGUCAAAUCAUCAUGCCCCUUAUGACCUGGGCUACACACGUGCUACAAUGGAUGGUACAACGAGUUGCGAAACCGCGAGGUUUAGCUAAUCUCUUAAAACCAUUCUCAGUUCGGACUGUAGGCUGCAACUCGCCUACACGAAGUCGGAAUCGCUAGUAAUCGCGGAUCAGCAUGCCGCGGUGAAUACGUUCCCGGGCCUUGUACACACCGCCCGUCACACCAUGAGAGUUUGUAACACCCAAAGCCGGUGG
RNAcentral lists this ribosomal RNA (1414 nucleotides) under Enterococcus durans. Its description in RNAcentral is "bacterial SSU rRNA". It matches the Rfam family "Bacterial small subunit ribosomal RNA", at positions 61 to 1433 of the family's 1533-position model. The record is from RNAcentral. Lineage: Bacteria; Bacillati; Bacillota; Bacilli; Lactobacillales; Enterococcaceae.